Molecule: ribosomal RNA, 366 nt
Filed under: Aureonarius limonius
Lineage: Eukaryota; Fungi; Basidiomycota; Agaricomycetes; Agaricales; Cortinariaceae
Description: eukaryotic LSU rRNA
Rfam family: 5.8S ribosomal RNA (bases 10-163)
Source: RNAcentral
AAUCUAUACAACUUUCAGCAACGGAUCUCUUGGCUCUCGCAUCGAUGAAGAACGCAGCGAAAUGCGAUAAGUAAUGUGAAUUGCAGAAUUCAGUGAAUCAUCGAAUCUUUGAACGCACCUUGCGCUCCUUGGUAUUCCGAGGAGCAUGCCUGUUUGAGUGUCAUUAAUAUAUCAACCUCUUCAACUUGCUUGUUGAGUGUUUGGAUGGUUGGGGGGUCAUUUUUUGCUGGUCUCUUUCCUGAAGUCAGCUCCCCUGAAAUGCAUUAGCAGAACAAUUUGUGGACCCGUUCAUUGGUGUGAUAAAUAUCUACGCUAUUGACGUUAAGCAGUUCAGCUUCUAACAGUUCAUUGACUGGACAAUAUCAU